AGCUGAUCAUUGGGUGUAAAGGGUGCGCAGGCGGUUUUGUAAGACAGAGGUGAAAUCCCCGGGCUCAACCUGGGAACUGCCUUUGUGACUGCAAGGCUGGAGUGCGGCAGAGGGGGAUGGGAUUCCGCGUGUAGCAGUGAAAUGCGUAGAUAUGCGGAGGAACACCGAUGGCGAAGGCAAUCCCCUGGGCCUGCACUGACGCUCAUGCACGAAAUCGUGGGGAGCAAACA
RNAcentral lists this ribosomal RNA (230 nucleotides) under uncultured Alicycliphilus sp. RNAcentral describes it as "partial 16S ribosomal RNA". It matches the Rfam family "Bacterial small subunit ribosomal RNA", at positions 550 to 774 of the family's 1533-position model. The record is from RNAcentral. Lineage: Bacteria; Pseudomonadati; Pseudomonadota; Betaproteobacteria; Burkholderiales; Comamonadaceae.